This 483-nucleotide ribosomal RNA is filed under the name uncultured bacterium. RNAcentral's name for it is "partial 16S ribosomal RNA". It matches the Rfam family "Bacterial small subunit ribosomal RNA", at positions 28 to 506 of the family's 1533-position model. The record is from RNAcentral.
AUUGAACGCUGGCGGAAUGCUUUACACAUGCAAGUCGAGCGGCAGCGCGGCCUUCGGGCUGGCGGCGAGCGGCGGACGGGCGAGUAAUGCAUCGGAACAUGCCCAGUCGCGGGGGAUAACACUUCGAAAGAAGUGCUAAUACCGCAUACGUCCUGAGGGGGAACGCGGGGGAUCGCAAGACCUCGCGCGCUUGGAGUGGCCGAUGUCAGAUUAGCUAGUUGGUGGGGUAACGGCCUACCAAGGCGACGAUCCGUCGCUGGUCUGCGGGGAUGAUCGGCCACACGGAAACGGAGACAGGGCCCAGACUCUUAGGGAGGGCGGCAGUGGGAAAAUUGGGACAAGGGGGGCAACCCGGACCCGGCCAACCCGGGGGGGUGAAGAGGGCCUUCGGGUUGUAAAGCUCUUUGUGCAGGAACAAAACGAGGGGCUCUAACACAGGCCGCUAAGGCCGGUCCCAGAGGAAGAGGCACCGCCUAACUACGU